RNAcentral lists this long non-coding RNA (733 nucleotides) under Dromaius novaehollandiae (emu). RNAcentral describes it as "lncRNA (ENSDNVG00000018430.1)". Lineage: Eukaryota; Metazoa; Chordata; Aves; Casuariiformes; Dromaiidae. The record is from RNAcentral.
CGCGAUCCUGGUCAGGCUGGCUGUGAGCAGGUAGGGAAGCAGCAGAUUCCUCUUGGAGAUAGAUUGUGUGUUGGGCUGCUCCGUUGUGAGGGUUUUGCUCCUUGGUGAGGAAGGUGGUGUUAGUGAACUUAAGUAUCUGGUGUAGAGGUAUAGUUAAAAGACUUUUGGUAGAAAGUAAAAGCUUUAUUUAAAGUCUGGUGCACACUCAGCCCUGCUCUUGAGGGCCCAGUGCCGGGAGGAGGAAGAAGAGGGGGAAUCAGUCCUGCUCUAAGUUCUGCACCCUCCCUUUCAGGCCGGGCAGCACCUGGCRGCUCAGACGUCAGCGCCRCUUCGCUGGGGGUYGCAGGCGGCUACGAGCAUCUCCCCYGGCKCYGUCUCUCUCUGCCGCGACUCUUGGAGCCCUCCCUCCUGCCCGUCGCCUCCUCGUCCCUUGCAGCGUGUCCCAGGGAGGAUGUUCAGUGCAGCAGGAACAGCCGACUGGAUCUCGCUUUCCCUGUGGACCCCAGCGCUGGAGGCCGGAGAACCUGCACAAACAAUGCUGCGUUGAUGCACUGAAGCACCAGCAGGCCCCAGCGAGGAGCACAGCGCUGCYGAUACGGGGAGCGAGGGAGGAUCCCUGCGCUGGAGAUGUCGGGUGAGUGCCCCAAAGUGGCGCGUGACCAAAACUAAACCCCACGGUGACUUUGGGGGCCCCCGCGAGGUAGGAGGAGUUUUGCUGCUGCCCUGUGCUUUU